UGGGGAAUAUUGGACAAUGGGGGAAACCCUGAUCCAGCGACGCCGCGUGGGUGAAGAAGGCCUGCGGGUUGUAAAGCCCUUUCAGUGGGGAAGAAAAGCCUCGAGCUAAUACCUCGGGGUCUUGACGUAACCCAUAGAAGAAGCACCGGCUAACUCUGUGCCAGCAGCCGCGGUAAUACAGAGGGUGCGAGCGUUAAUCGGAAUUACUGGGCGUAAAGCGCGCGUAGGCGGCUUUGCAAGUCGGGUGUGAAAUCCCCAGGCUUAACCUGGGAACUGCAUUCGAGACUGCAUUGCUAGAGUAUGGGAGAGGGAAGUGGAAUUUCCGGUGUAGCGGUGAAAUGCGUAGAUAUCUGGAGGAACACCGGUGGCGAAGGCGGCAUCCUGGACCGGCAUUGACGCUGAGGCGCGAAAGCCAGGGGAGCAAA
RNAcentral lists this ribosomal RNA (425 nucleotides) under uncultured bacterium. Its description in RNAcentral is "bacterial SSU rRNA". It matches the Rfam family "Bacterial small subunit ribosomal RNA", at positions 355 to 772 of the family's 1533-position model. The record is from RNAcentral.